RNAcentral lists this ribosomal RNA (479 nucleotides) under uncultured bacterium. RNAcentral's name for it is "partial 16S ribosomal RNA". It matches the Rfam family "Bacterial small subunit ribosomal RNA", at positions 28 to 507 of the family's 1533-position model. The record is from RNAcentral.
GAUGAACGCUAGCGGGAGGCCUAACACAUGCAAGCCGAGCGGUAUUGUUUCUUCGGCAAUGAGAGAGCGGCGUACGGGUGCGUAACACGUGUGCAACCUGCCUUUAUCUGGGGGAUAGCCUUUCGAAAGGAAGAUUAAUACUCCAUAAUAUAUUGAACGGCAUCGUUUAAUAUUGAAAGCUCCGGCGGAUAGAGAUGGGCACGCGCAAGAUUAGCUAGUUGGUGAGGUAACGGCUCACCAAGGCGAUGAUCUUUAGGGGGCCUGAGAGGGUGAUCCCCCACACUGGUACUGAGACACGGACCAGACUCCUACGGGAGGCAGCAGUGAGGAAGAUUGGUCAAUGGGUGCAAGCCUGAACCAGCCAUCCCGCGUGAAGGACGCCUGCCCUAUGGGUUGUAAACUUCUUUUGUAUAGGGAUAAACCUACCCUCGAGAGGGUAGCUGAAGGUACUAUACGAAUAAGCACCGGCUAACUCCGUG